CCUACGGGAGGCAGCAGUGAGGAAUAUUGGUCAAUGGGCGGAAGCCUGAACCAGCCAAGUAGCGUGCAGGAUGACGGCCCUACGGGUUGUAAACUGCUUUUAUACGGGAAUAAAGCGCCUUACGUGUAGGGCUUUGCAUGUACCGUAUGAAUAAGGACCGGCUAAUUCGGUGCCAGCAGCCGCGGAAAUACGGAGGGACCGGGCGUUAUCCGGCUUUCUGGGGUUGAAAGGGUGCGCAGGCGGUCUGUUACGUCAGCGGUCAAAUCCCGGGGCUCAACCCCGGCCCGCCGUUGAAACUGGCAGUCUCGAGUUGGAGAGAAGUAUGCGGAAUGCGCGGUGUAGCGGUGAAAUGCAUAGAUAUCGCGCAGAACUCCGAUGGCGAAGGCAGCAUGCCGGCUCCACACUGACGCUGAGGCACGAAAGCGUGGGUAUCGAACAGGAUUAGAUACCCUGGUAGUC
Molecule: ribosomal RNA, 459 nt
Filed under: uncultured bacterium
Lineage: Bacteria
Description: partial 16S ribosomal RNA
Rfam family: Bacterial small subunit ribosomal RNA
Source: RNAcentral